UAGUGAAGGGUUGUAUUUUUCCUUUACAAUUUAGUGGCUCUAUUUUGGAAGGUUCUUUUUUAUUGCUUAUAAGUUAUAAAAGUUAGAAGAGUUGUUUUUUUAGAGAGUUUAUAAAGUAUAGAUUUCAAAAAGCUAAGAAUUAAGCAUAUUGGAGUUAGAGCAUGGUAAGAAAGUUGAUUUUUGUAGGAAGAGGUUUGUUGCCUCCAAAUUCAAGCAAUCAAAUAAUGGCACUAUUUUGGAGGAUAAAAUUAAGAAGAUUGAGGUAGCUUAAGGGCUCAAAUUUUUUAAAAAAGAUACUAUUUGGAGUUAGAAUUUUAACAAACUUAGAUUUAUUGAUGAAUAAUAAUGGAUCAA
This 354-nucleotide long non-coding RNA is filed under the name Physcomitrium patens. RNAcentral describes it as "long non-coding RNA (PPAT_LNC013914)". The record is from RNAcentral. Lineage: Eukaryota; Viridiplantae; Streptophyta; Bryopsida; Funariales; Funariaceae.